GAGUAGUGAGAGUGAGACGAAGGCAGAUGCUGUGCUGUGAAGAAGAUCCGUGGAGGAAGCAGAUGGCUGUGAACCAAUUGAAUCCUCAAUGUUUUCUGUGAAACAAUCGAAUCCUCAAUUGAAUCCUCAAUGUUUUCUCUUAUAUAUGAAUCGUAUAAUCAUGCUUGCACGUUCAGCAAUCCGAUUGUCUGUUAUGAUACCAACCGGCGCCGGAGAAUCAACCAGAACCGGUAGCUAUGAAAGGGAGAGAAGGUGAAAGGAUAGAGAGAGAACCAAAGAGAAUUAUAAAUUGAUUUUUCCAAAAGUUGCCAUUACAAAAAUUUCGGGAGCAUGUAUAGCCCACAUGCCUGCAAUUCCCCAAUACAAAAGUGCCACCUGGAUAAUGACUGAAAAUUACUAAAACUUUCUACUAAGUAUUGGCCCAUUACAAUCGAACCCCAUACUUUUAACCCCUUACAAUUAUGCCUUUUAACUACCUUACACUUUAGUCCUCACUACUAUUAACUAAAACCUCACUGUGACUAAGGCAAUCACGAUUAGUUCAUAACAAUACCUUCACCUUAGAGAACCUUGUCCACAAGGUUUUAGAGAGGAAAUGAGGGAUAUUCGGCUUUGAACUCAUUAAAAUCCUCUCAGGUCACCUCUGAUUCCUCUUGCUCUUGCCACUGUACUAGUAAUUGAACUCCAGCAACAUCUCCUUUCUUAUAGAUUCUCCUUGCCAACACUGCAACAGGUACAUUCCCUACUAAUCCAUCUUUAUCAACCUGUGGCAGGACAGUCUGUGGUGUCACUCUAGUUUCCAGGUGUUUCUUCAAUUGACUCACAUGGAAAACAGGGUGGAUUUUUGUGUUUGGUGGUAGGUUCAGUUUAUAGGCCACAUUUCCAACCUUCUCACAAAUCUCAUAAGGACCAUAGUAUCGUGGCAGGAGCUUAUGGUAGCGGUGAGGAGAUAGGGUCUGCAAUUGAUAAGGAAUCAGUUUCAAAUACACAAAUUCCCCAACUUCAAAUUGCCUCUCAGUUCUUUUCUUAUCUUGCUGCACCUUCAUGCGAUUCUGAGCCAAUUCCAGGUUGUGUUUUAGCAUGGAUAAGACCUUAUCCCUUUCCAUUAAACCUUGUCCCACGGCUUCCACUCUUGCAGUACCUAAUUCAUAGGGUAGAACUUGGGGAGGAGGAUAGCCAUAAACAAGUUCGAAAGGUGUGAAUUUGGCAGAUGAGUGGUAGGAAGUGUUAAAGCACCACUCGGCCCAGGGAAGCCAUUGUACCCACUUCUUUGGUUGACCCCCCACAAAACACCUUAAAUAGGUUUCAAGACACCGGUUCAUCACUUCAAUCUGCCCAUCAGUUUGGGGGUGGUAACCAGAGCUCAUACAUAGUUUGGAUCCUUGUAAUUUAAACAAUUCUCGCCAAAAAGCACUGACAAAAAUAGGAUCUCGAUCACUGACCACUGAGCUUGGUAUGCCAUGAAGUUUCAACACAUUGUCAAUAAAGGCCUGAGCCACUGUGAUUGCCGUAUAUGGGUGGGACAUUGCUAUGAAGUGAGCACUCUUGGACAGCCUGUCAACCACCACUAAUAUCACAGAUUUUCCUUUGCAUAAAGGCAGUCCUCCUAUGAAAUCCAUGCUAAUGUCGGUCCAAACUCUUUGGGGGAUAGGCAAAGGUUGCAACAACCCUGGUGGAGAAAUGGUUUCCACUUUGUUUUGUUGGCACACUUGACAUUUUGCCACAUAAGUCUUGAUAUCUCUCUUCAUUCCCUGCCAAUAGAAGCCUCUCUUGACCCUUUGGUAUGUUUUAAGUACUUCUUGGUGACCAGCAGAAGGAGUACAAUGGUAUUCUGCUAAAAUGUUCCUUUUCCACUCAGAGUGAGGACUCAACAACACUCUGCGUUUGUAAAGCAAAAAUCCGUUGUCAAUAGUGUACUUGCCCAAAGAAGAAUCACUUGUGCCCUUGAGUGCUGAGUCAAGAACUUCUUUUUUCUUUGUUUUGAUCCACUCAUCUUGUUCAGUGUUUCUUCUUAAGUCAUCAAUCCAUUCAUGGUAUGGGUAAGAAAUGGCAUAGCAUGCUCCCGUUGACUCCAACGAGUCUUGUAGCCUAGGCACCCCAUGUAACUUGGAUAAGGCAUCGGCUGCUGCAUUUUGGGAGCCAUUUUUUAACUGUAUCUCAUAAUCAUACCCCAACAAUUUAGAUACCCAUUUCUGUUGGAAUGCAGUAUUAGCUCGUUGGUGUAGGAAAUAUUUAAGACUGUUAUGAUCAGUCUUAAUUAUGAAAUGACGGCCUUGUAGAUAAUUCUGCCACUUCCGUACUGCAUAAACCACUGCAAUUAGUUCUCUUUCAUAGGUGGAGAGUGCUUGAUUUCGUGGACCUAGUGAUCGGCUUGAAAAAGCAAUAGGCCUUCCUCCUUGUUAUAGUACAGCUCCAAUACCACAGCCUGAGGCAUCACACUCUAAUUCAAAAAGCUUGGAGAAAUCGGGUAGUGCCAACACCUGUGGAGAAACCAUAGCUGUUUUAAGCUUGUUAAAAGCUUGUUGAGUGUCGGCAUCCCAAUGAAAACCAUCAUUCUUUGUCAAGUGGUAUAAGGGCUGGCAAAUCUUGCCAAAGCCUGGUACGAAUUUGUGAUAGUAGCUUGUUAAACCCAGGAACCCCUUGAGUUCCUUGAUGUUUCUUGGUGCAGGCCAACUUUGUAUAGCUUCAAUUUUUUGAGGGUCAGGUGCCACUCCUUCCUUAAAGACAAUGUGACCCAAGUACUCAACUCUAUUUUGGCCAAAUAAGCAUUUAGAUUUCUUGAAGAAGAGUUGAUUGGUCUGUAAUAUCUUAAACACCAUCUGCAAAUGGGCUAAAUGGGAUUCCUAGGUCCGACUAUAAACAAGAAUGUCAUCAAAGAAGACUAACACACAUUUUCUCAAAUGGGGUUUAAAUAAAGCAUUCAUUAAACCUUGAAAUGUGGCAGGGGCGUUUGUAAGCCCAAAAGGCAUAACUAGGAACUCAUAGUGUCCUUCAUGAGUCCUAAAUGCAGUCUUUUCAAUGUCCCCAGGUUGCAUUAAGAUCUGAUGAUAUCCAGAUCGUAAGUCUAGUUUAGAGAAAUAGAGAGACCCAUGCAACUCAUCCAGCAGGUCAUCAAUAAGGGGUAUGGGAUAUUUAUCCUUAAUAGUGAGGGCAUUGAGCUCCCUAUAGUCAAUGCACAUUCUCCAAGUGCCUUCUUUCUUUUUGACUAGUAACAUAGGGAAAGAAAAUGGACUAUGGCUUGGCCUUAUGAAACCUGCCUCCAGCAACUCCUGAACUGCCUUUUCUAUUUCUGUUUUUUGCAAUGGACCAUAGUGGUAGGGUCGGAUGUUUGGGGGUUUGGCACCUUGCACCAAAGGAAUAUGGUGAUCAUGGUCUCUCGGUGGAGGAAGCUUGGUAGGUAAGACAAAUAGUGCCUCAAACUUACCCCAAGAGUUGCUGCAGCUCCUGCAACUGCACUGAACUUAAGUCACAGGAUUCUAGUUUCUCUUCUUCCAUGAAAUACAAAAGUAACCCCAAGUUAGAAUUAACUAGCUCCUUGUGCUGCAACUCAGGGUGAUCAAUUUCUAUAUUGUCUUCCACAACUUCAGAAUCCAUCACAUCCAUCAUCAAUAGUUGUUUAAAACCACACUUAUGCCCCAUUACCCAUUUAUUAGGGCAAAACCAGCAUUCCCCUCGCGCUCUUUUCCUCUGGAUCUCCUCCGGGGUUAGCUUCUUAAUAGCAAGGUUGCUAGUGUGUGGCACAGUAUGGGAGGAAGGUGGAACAAUGGUUGAAAAGGGUUUAGAAGCUGUAUGGUUUUGAGAGGGGGCCGAUUUUAGCUCUGUGAGCUUGGUAUCAAGCUGCACCGCAAUGGCAAUCGCCUCAUGGACAUUGGUCGGUUUUAACAAUUUGACAUCAUAGCGAAGUUCUUUUUUCAACCCCCCUAAAAAGCAACUUUGUAACAGAAGAGGGCUAAUAUCAGGUGAUCUAGUAGCUAAGCGGCGAAAUUUAAUGAUAUAAUCACGAAGAGUACCUAGCUGGCAAAGUUUGAAGAGAACCUCGGCACUAUCGUCGAAAGCAGAUGGGCCAAACUCGCGACAAAUGGCUUUUGUAAACCCCAGCCAAGUGGGGGUGGUGGUGAUGCAGUCCAUCAAACGGAACUAGUGAAGAAGCGCACCUUCAAAAUGAAAGGAGGCCGUGAGAACACAUUGAGCAUCUGGAAUCCCAUAGAAGGAGAAGAACUGUUCGGCUUUGUAAAUCCAAGCAAGGAUAUCAUCACCGUCAGUGAAUCUGGGAAAGUCGAGGCGCUGUUGCCACGGCGGCCGUGGAUUCGGAAGGCCAGGAUGAGGCGGUGGUGGGAUAUGAGCCAGCUCAGUAGGAACAGGUGGAUCUGAAGUAGUUGGGAUGGAUGGACCUUCACCCUCACGACGAAAGGUGAGUUCAUGGGUGAGCUCGCAGCGGAAAUGCUCAAAAUACGCCGGAAGGCGCGCAUCGAAAUACACUGGAAGGCGUGCAUCGAGUUGGGCUGGAAGCUUAGCAUCAAAAGCAGAGUUCACUGCCUCGCGGAUGAUCGAUGGAAAUUCAGAUUCGAAAGCAGCAAAGCAGGCAUCCAUUGUGGAACGAGUGGUGGGUUUGGAACGGGGCAUACAAGGAUGGGAAAAUCCAGGAACGAAGGGUGAUACCAAUGUUAUGAUACCAACCGGCGCCGGAGAAUCAACUAGAACCGGUAGCUAUGAAAGGGAGAGAAGGUGAAAGGAUAGAGAGAGAACCAAAGAGAAUUAUAAUUGAUUUUUCCAAAAGUUGCCAUUACAAUAAUUUCGGGAGCAUGUAUAUCCCACAUGCCUGCAAUUCCCCAAUACAAAAGUGCCACCUGGACAAGGACUGACAAUUACUAAAACUUUCUACUAAGUAUUGGCCCAUUACAAUCGAACCCCAUACUUUUAACCCCUUACAAUUAUGCCUUUUAACUACCUUACACUUUAGUCCUCACUACUAUUAACUAAAACCUCACUGUGACUAAGGCAAUCACGAUUAGUUCAUAACAUUGUCGGUCUUUCAACACUUUGGCAGACUUAAUCAAAUAAUAAUUUCAAUUUUUAGUAUAAC
RNAcentral lists this long non-coding RNA (5083 nucleotides) under Malus domestica (apple). Its description in RNAcentral is "long non-coding RNA (MDOM_LNC008709)". Lineage: Eukaryota; Viridiplantae; Streptophyta; Magnoliopsida; Rosales; Rosaceae. The record is from RNAcentral.